UAUUAACAUAUAUACAACAUAUAAUUAUAAUUGCAAAUAGAAUCAUUCAUAAUACAUAUAAUAAAAGUAAUCAUGCAUUAUAAUUAUUGCUUCACAAUUUAAGUUCAUAAUAUUGCAUUUGUCGUAUAGCUUUUCGUUAAAUUUGAAAAUAUAACUAAUCAUAAUGGCAGAAGGUGACCCAUUUGAUAACGAAUAAUAUGGAAAAUGGAAAUGAAACUGGAAUAUUAUUACAUAGAGUCUUGUGAAACGUUACUAUAUAGCCUAUUAAUUAUGGACAGUUGUUACCUCAUCAUGUGACUGUUUUUAUUCUGUUAACAUAUUUUAUAGUGUUAAUUAUAAUAAUAUUUAUAUGUAUAUGUCUAUACAGAAUGAUAAACAAUCAACCAGUUGAGGACGAUUUUCAAUUAAUGCCAAUGUUAUCUUUUGAAGAUGAAUCUUCAGAUGAGGAUAAUAAUUCUAGUUUUUUGGGAGAAAGUAGUGAAUAUGAAGAGACCAGACUAUGACAAGUUUAAAACCAAUAACCAUGUAUUAAAAGUAAUCAAUCUAUCAAUCAAUCAUUCAUUGAAUAAAAAUAUUAAAUAUAAAACGACAUAAAGGAAAAAAACUUUAAGGUAUUACUAAGAUAGUAUGUUGAAAUUAAAAAUUGAGUAAAAAAUAUAAAAAUUAUAAUUUACAUAAAAAUGAUCAGAAUAUGAAGAUAGUAAUGAUGACAAUAGUAGAGAAUAAACAUGUAAGCAGUGUCAAGAUUGUCAAUAUCUAAAGUGACGAUAUUAACACUGUAUUUGUCAAAAAAAUGUUAUUAAAAAAUUACAACUUAAGAAAUAAAUAUAAUAUUACUAUAACGACAUAAAAUGGCAUAUUUUUGAAUAUGUAGUACUUAUUUAAAUAAAAAAGCAUAAGAAUAUAUAUAAUAGUACCAAUAUACAAUUACAAGCUUAAAUUAUAUACUUAUAACAUUUCACUUUUAAUGUUUGUAUUAUUUUUUAGGUUAAAACUGAAUUAUUAGUUUUCAAGUGUGUAAGUAUUUUAAUAUAGUUCUUAUAUGCAUUCGGAAAAAAACUUAAUGUUUUUUUUUUUUUUUUUUUGUAUGUUACAAUAUUAAUAAGGCUUGUAGUUUUUGUAUCACAUUUAUGCAUUGUAUAUUUAAAAAAAAAAAAAAAAAAUUACAACAAUGUAAAAGACAAGAAUUUAUAUGAAUAACUCAUAUUGUUGUUGUUCGUUAUGCUCAUUAUAUGUUACGUAUAUACUAAUUUUCGUUAAUUCGAUUGUUGUUUUUGUUGUUUUUUAGUUUGGUUAUUGUUUAUCACGGUUUCAUUUUUGUGAGUGUAUGUUGACAAUGAACAUAAUGUUAUAUUAGUUUUAACGAAUAGUUUUUUGUGUCGUGCUUGUUUAAUAACUUUAUUUUUUCGUAAAUGUAGAGUUAUUAGGUUUAGUAACUUUUUGUUAAUUUUUUUUUUUUUAAUUAAUCAUGUUGUGUUAUUUAGCGCAUGUAACACAUUAAUAAUUAAAUGUUAUUUUAU
Molecule: long non-coding RNA, 1520 nt
Organism: Piliocolobus tephrosceles (Ugandan red Colobus)
Lineage: Eukaryota; Metazoa; Chordata; Mammalia; Primates; Cercopithecidae
Exons: 4
Source: RefSeq, a predicted model, not a curated record